This 482-nucleotide ribosomal RNA is filed under the name uncultured bacterium. Its description in RNAcentral is "partial 16S ribosomal RNA". It matches the Rfam family "Bacterial small subunit ribosomal RNA", at positions 30 to 507 of the family's 1533-position model. The record is from RNAcentral.
AUUGAACGCUGGCGGCAUGCUUUACACAUGCAAGUCGAACGGUAACAGGCCGCAAGGUGCUGACGAGUGGCGGACGGGUGAGUAAUGCAUCGGAACGUGCCCAGUCGUGGGGUAUAACUACUCGAAAGAGUAGCUAAUACCGCAUACGAUCUAUGGAUGAAAGCGGGGGACCGUAAGGCCUCGCGCGAGUGGAUCGGCCGAUGUCCGAUUAGGUAGUUGGUGGGGUAAAGGCUCACCAAGCCAACGAUCUGUAGCUGUUCUGAGAGGACGAGCAGCCACACUGGGACGGGGACACGGCCCAUAGUCCUACGGGAGGCAGCAGUGGGGAAUUGUGGACAAUAGGGGGAAGCAUGAUACAGCAAUGCGGCGUGCAGGAAGACGGCCUUGGGGUUGUAAACUGCUUUUGUACGGAACGAAACGGCUCUGGUUAAUACCCAGGGCUAAUGACGGUACCGUAAGAAUAAGCACCGGCUAACUACGUG